ACUUAGUUCAAGCUUACAACAAACUCCUUGGAAGUACUCUAACUUCCUGAAAUAUGGAGUUUAUGAUAAACUACCUCGGAACUUGCAAGCUAUUUUGAGUUCUUCAGGUGGUUUCUCACCAGCAAAUCCACUGUCAACCCAAGCAGAGUAGCCUCCUCCCAUGUUAUUCACAUGCUCGAAGCCCUGAAAUUUCUCACUAAAUCUCAUUAUUACUUAUCCUUUUCUUUUGCAGGUCUAGUCAACCUUGCAAAUUAGUUCUAGCAUCUCAAAUCUUACCGCGUUAAGAAGAUCGACGCAAGCACGAAGGCCUCUACCACCUCUGUUGCAAUUCUGCACAAAUAGGUAAAUAUUUUGCAAUUUGUUUCAAUAUUACUUUUAAAUCUGCAUUGGGAUAUAAAAGUAGCAACACCGAGGAAUAGUUUUUCUUCUUACCACCACUAUAUGAUCUUCCUUCUUUAAUAUGGAUGUAACUUGUGCUAGAAAGUCGGGAUUCUUUACUUGACCUGUUUAUUAGCAAACUGUCAGAUUCUAUAGGAUCAAACAUACGAGAGUUGAUCUAAGAAAAUGCAUCUAGGUCAAUGCUUAGCAGUGAAAACAUCCUAAAACUGUAGAGUUUAGUUACUUUUAGAACAAAAUCAUACAGGGACAGCUGGUUAUUACCUUCUGGGGUGAAGAACACGUAGGGAACAUUUAGUGCAUUCUCAACAUGGCCUUUGUUAUACUCUUCAACUGUCCUGCAACCAAAACCAUCUCUUCAGUUAUUUAGCUUCAUUACCUUUGAUUAUAUAUAUUUAUAUAUAAGCCGACCUAACAUCCAAACAGAGGCGACCCUUUUCUAAGAGAUCUUUGGCAACUUGAACAUCGACUGUCCUGCAGAUUGGGAGUGAAUAAAUGAGUUAAUUUCAAACUCUUUUUUUGCAUAGUAAAUGUGAGGUUACAUU
This 941-nucleotide long non-coding RNA is filed under the name Cucumis sativus (cucumber). Its description in RNAcentral is "long non-coding RNA (CSAT_LNC000653)". Lineage: Eukaryota; Viridiplantae; Streptophyta; Magnoliopsida; Cucurbitales; Cucurbitaceae. The record is from RNAcentral.